UAUUGGCCACUUAAAACUUUCUUAGUUUGUUGUUAAUUAAGCAAAAGAAAAACUAAUCUCGUCAUACUAUAUGCAUAUCAAAAAUAUAAAUUCUAGUUGAUGUGGUAGGAUAAAUGAGCAAUCUAAGAUUGGAAAAUGGGGAUUAUAGUUAAUAAUUUUUUAGUUUUUACUUUUUUAAAAUAUUUCAAUUUGAAUUUAAUUAAUUUUAGGCCCACGGACCGGCCUAGACCUAGCCUCGAUCAAGCCUCAAAGGGCCAGCAGACUGACUUGGGUCGGACUUAUAAGCCUCAAUUUUAAACGGGCUAAAAAAAUUACAACCUAGCCCUACCCAAAUAGCGGGCUGGGUAGGGCCAUUUUGACGAUUGUGUAUUUGGAAAAUUCUAAAAUGGGGCCAAGAACCUCUUCGUUUAAGGAGAGAAGAUGAAUUUGAUUGUAUCAAUAAGACAUCCUUUUGGGUAUCAUCGACAAAGUUGAUUCUCAAAGUUGUAGUGUGGGUGAUCUUCAUUGCAUAGGCUACUUUUAUUUUCUUAUUGCCUUCUAAAUUGAUGAAUGAUCUGCAAGGGAAAUUUAUUCGAGCCACCCGAGGAACUAUUUUUGGACAACAGGAAGCACAUUCUUGAUAUUCAGUUUCCCAAUUUUCAUGAUUGCAUUUCUUGCAAUUAUUCGCCUCGUUCUCUCUGGUGAAGAUGAACCCCAAGUGUAUGUGUAUCUGGUAGCUUGAUUUCUUAUUUGUUAGACCUUAGAAGUUAGUGGAAAGGAAGUGCUCAUUAAAAGCAUUUUAUCGAGUAUGCCCACCUAUUACUUGUCUCUGUUGCAAGCUCCUGGGAGCAUCACAGAAAAACUGGAGCGGCUUUAAAGGAACUUUCUAUGGAAUGCAGCGGAUGGAACUAGAAAGUAUCAUAUAGUGAAUUGGCAGACAGUCAUUUCCCCAAAGAAGUGGAGUGGACUUGGAGUAAAAGAUCUUAGGGUAUUCAACAGAGCUUUGUUGGGGAUAUGACUAUGGAGAUUCGGGGUAGAAGAGCAUGCUCUAUGGAGGGAGGUCAUAGUAGAGAAGUACGAUUCCACGGGAGGGGGUUGGAGGACUAAGGCGAUCACAACACCUUUCGGGUGUGGCAUAUGGAGGAGCAUCAUGAAGAAUUGGGAAUCCUUCGGUGGCAACAUCUCUUACAGGGUGGGAGAUGGAAGAAGAAUCAGCUUUUGGAAUCAUAGGUGGUGUGAAAAUGAUACUCUAAGGGUCUCCUUCCCCCACGUCUUCAGAGUUUCAAACCAAAAGGAAUUGAUGGUCCAACAAAUUCGUAAGGAACAUGCAGGGGGUAGUAUGGGACCUCUCAUCUAGAAGGAACAUGCAAGAUUGGGAGAUUGCGGAGCUCUAAGAUUUAUUGACACUGCUAUAUGGGCAAGACUUGCCUCGGCCAUCUUGUGAUUCUUGGAGAUGGGGUUUGCGUGGCGAUGAUCCGUUCACCGUAAAGUCCUUUUACCAGAGUAUGUUGGUGAAAGAGGAGGCCUCUUUUCCAUACUCCUCCAUCUGGAUUCCUAAGGCGCCUACGGAGGUGUGCUUUUUUGCAUGGCUAGCGGCGAGGGGAGUGAUUUUGACUGCCGAGAAUCUGCGAAUGAGGGGAAUUACACUUGUUAGUUGGUGUUAUAUGUGUAAAAGCUCAGGGGAAGAAGUUGAUCAUCUUUUGUUGCAUUGCACUGUGUCCUCGGCUUUGUGGAGGGCGAUCCUGAACCUUUUUGGUGUUCAAUGGGUGAUGCCAAGCACUGUAAAGGAAAUGCUAUAUAGCUGGGCCGGUUUCCGUAGAAGGAGAAAGCAAAAGCGUGGAAGUUCGCCCCGUUAGCUCUCAUGUGGAUAGUUUGGGGGGAGAGAAAUAGGAGAGCUUUUGAGGGGAUUGAGUCUCCUUUUUCACAUCUUAAGAAUAGUCUUUUAUCUUUGAUCGUUUUUUGGUGCAUUCAUAUAGCCCCAAUUUGUAUAGAAGAUUGAGCGUCUUUUGUAGAGAAUCAUGUUCUGAUGUAAAUUCUCAACUUUUUGGUAUACUUCUUGUAUACGGGAGUUCUCUCCCUUUUGAUUAAUACAAUUUACCUUAUAAGUGGAUGUUCUGAACUUGUGUAGUUACUUGAAUUUUAAGCUGUUGCAGCCUGUAGGAAGAAGACUGCGAAAGGUCCAAGUUUUCGCUUGUGGACAUUCCCAGUGCUGGUGGAUGGACCAUUUGGGGUUGUUACAGCUGCAGAAAUGAUUGGUGUUAUACUCUUCUCAGCGUACAUCAUCUGGGCUGUAGUUAUGUACAGUAUACGGAAUGUUGACCUCUUAUCAUUAUUUCAUGUACAAGAUAAGAGAAAGUAGUUGCUAAUGACGUUCACCAUGUUCAAGAGCUUGGGUUUGUUAACCUGCUCAUUUAGACCUCUUGUUGUUCUUUAAUUUGCACCAUUUUGUUCCGGCUUGACAAAAUAGUCAUCCUUUCAGAGAACUAAGUUACCUUAAUCCUUUUAUCUAUACAUGUAUGGCUGGGAUAUAAAGAUCAUUAUCCAUUUUCCAAUAGAAGUACAUGAUAUGAUUCUUUAAAGCUAUUUAUUUUGCAUCCUUCUGGCCUUCAUUUGCUCUAUAUUCAGGAAUUUUUCAAUCCAAUAUGCCCUUAAUUCAAAUUUUGGUUCAACUUUGUUCGUAUAUUGUCUUAUAUAGUAGCUCUUUUCUCUCCAAAAAUAUGCAUGGUAGUAGAGUUCUGAAAGUACUGAAACACUCUUCUCGAGUAGUUGAUGAUUCCAAUUUACUGAAGCUUGAGCUAAACAUGACUUUAGAGCCUGUUUAAAGAUAUGCGACCUAUUGAAAUAAUAAAUAUAUCCUAGUUUCUUAUGUUUAUUCCUGCCCCUCUCUAAUGAAAACAAACUGAUUGAGAUCAGUUGAGUACUGUGCACUUUCUGCAUCACACGAUAAUUCCAGGCUAUUCUAACUAUGUGUUUGAUUUUACUAACUUCACUUAUAUAAAACAGGGAUCUUUUAAGUUCAUCUACUGCACAUUAUCUAGUCCACCUGUGAUUUUAAAUUGGAAAAGAUGAUUGAUUUUCUUUUCUUUUGAUCUGUCCUCUCUUCUUUGUCACCUCAAUUUAUAAUUGCGCAUCUUGAUAAAUAUAAAAGAGAAUUCCAUGUCAAAAGGUUUCGAAGUAUUGGGAUAUAAACAUAGUUCUUACAUCAGACUUUAGAACCAGUACAUAGUUUGUUGACUUGAAGGCUCCUUUAAUAGCAGGAUCGACUAAUAUCUGCUGUUGUAAUUUUCCAGUGUUCUGUUGCUGGAGCUAACAGGCCUUCGUUUUGGAUUCAUUGGAUUAAUCUGCUUAGCAUUUCUGUUUCUGCCUGUUGCACGGGGUUCAGUUCUUCUUCGAGCUAUAGAUAUUCCUUUUCAACAUGCCACUCGAUAUCAUGUUUGGCUGGGACAUCUUACUAUGGCUCUUUUUAGCCUUCAUGGCCUGUUCUAUGUGAUUGGCUGGGCGCCGCCUUUUGGAGGAACUCAUUCAGUGGAGAACAUAGGAGCAGCAAUUUUCCAGGAGUUAUCAGCCUAGCAGCUGGGUGGGUGACUUCACUUCCUGGAGUAAGGAGACAAAACUUUGAACUGUUCUUCUAUACACACCAAUUAUAUGUGGUGUUCUUGAAUGGUCCAAUUGUUUGUGGCUUCAUUUCAGCCAAAUUUCUGCUUACAUAGCCUGAUUGAAUGUUGGGUAUUAGUCUAGCAAAUAACGAACAUAUGAUUAAGUUUUUAGAUACGGAAAAAGAACAAAGCGAAAUUGCAUUCAUUCUUUCACAGGCACCUAAAAUGGCAAGAUCAUAUUCACUAAUGACUUAGAGCGCACAAGAUGUUGAUCAAAAGGGAUUAGUUUUUUUUUUUUUUUUUUUUUUUUACCAUAAUUCAACUUGUAUUUAGGCCUGGAUUUGAGUUGUAGUUAGGCUUGAAUUAAUUUUAAUUUUUGUACCAAAUUGAUAUUUUUAAAGUAAUGGUGACUUAUGUAUGUAUGCAUUUUUUGUAAAAUAAAUGUGACCACUCAUAUAUAUUUAA
Molecule: long non-coding RNA, 4040 nt
Organism: Nicotiana tabacum (common tobacco)
Lineage: Eukaryota; Viridiplantae; Streptophyta; Magnoliopsida; Solanales; Solanaceae
Source: RefSeq, a predicted model, not a curated record